RNAcentral lists this long non-coding RNA (1054 nucleotides) under Equus caballus (horse). Its description in RNAcentral is "lncRNA (ENSECAG00000057035.1)". The record is from RNAcentral. Lineage: Eukaryota; Metazoa; Chordata; Mammalia; Perissodactyla; Equidae.
GGCGGCCCGAGGUGACGGGACCCGCGGGCCCGGCGAGGGGACAGCGGCGCGGGCUGGAGUCGGCCGAGAUCCGACUGCCAGACACGGAGCGUUUGCGCCGGCACAGGAUUGCUUUUCAUUGGCGGGGAAGCAAGCGGGACUGAUCAGCGGUUGGCUCUGGGCUCUGGGUCUUAUUAUUUAUGCAGAGGUGACCAAAAGCCCUGGGCAUAGAGGGAAAAGCUAGAGGGUGACAACUGAGGAUGAGUUAUUAAGCGUUUUAUUCCAUGGCGGAGGAGUCUCCUGUUUCGCUCGCGUUCGCAGGACUGCGGGAAACGCGGAGCCGAAACGCGGGGCUACAACGCGGUGGACGGGGCGAGAAGGAGGUCGGUGCGGCGGCCCGGCGCCGCCAGGGCCCUCCCGGAGGCUGGGGGUCGAGGAGGAGAGCGGGGCUGCAGAAGCAAGGAGGGCAGGGGGAAGGCUGGAGGAUGACGGCUGGGGGAGCAUGGAGAAAAGUCAGUGAGCAGGAGAUCUUAAAUCUCAUCAUCUGCAUCUCACCAUGUGGCCUAACACCCGGUGGGAUGAAGAAGUUUGUCCUCCCCUCCUUUCCUGGCACUGAAUCUCAGCGCUUCCUUCUCCUCCCCAAGGUCACAGUGCUUUUAGUUCCCCUGGUCCUUGUCUGAUCCACAGAUACUCUUGAAGAAAACAUUCUCACAAAGGUGACUUCAUGUGUCUGCCAUGCCCCACCUCCCCUUAAAUUUGAAACACAGAACCAGAACACUGGGAAAGGCCCACUUUAACCUAUAGGAAUGACUUUCCUACUGGAAGAUUUCUACAACCUGGCAUUUGAACCGGGAGGGUCCUCUGAGGCUGAUUCUUCCCAAGGACAGUGAAAUCAGGUGGCCCAGUGUUCCGUUGGUUCGAAUCCUGAGCGCGGACAUGGCACUGCUCGUCAAACCACGCUGAGGCAGCGUCCCACAUGCCACAACUAGAAGGACCCACAACUAAGAAUAUACAACUAUGUACCGGGAGGCUUUGGGGAGAAAAAGGAAAAAAAUAAAAUCUUAAAAAAAAAAAA